Molecule: non-coding RNA, 1115 nt
Organism: Bemisia tabaci
Lineage: Eukaryota; Metazoa; Arthropoda; Insecta; Hemiptera; Aleyrodidae
Source: RefSeq, a predicted model, not a curated record
UUAGAAUUGAUUUGAUAAUCAACUGUAGUUAGUUUUCCUCUCUCAUUUUGUAUUUUCUGGACACGCUGCCACCUUGCAGACAUCAUAACCUGCAUUUGGUUUCGACUCGUAGACAAAACACAAAAGUUAUUUUGAGUAAUUGAAUAAUUGUGAUAAUAAUUUAGCUAUGCUAUGGUGUUAUGUUCUAUUGCUAGUCUCCUACUUUUUUGUCACUCAACAUGACACAAAAUCUAGUGCACCGUCGUUUCAGUUUAAAAAACCCACAACAGGAAAUAAACAAUUUUCGUGCCCCAACUGUAAUUGGCCAUCGACUACUAACAUCACGAAGCUUCAUAAGCGUAUUUACAAAGCGCGCAAAAAGGUUCUCCCUUUCAUCAAUGAGGAGCUGAACAAAAUGAGGAAAAUAAAAACAAAUCAGACGAAUUUUGUCCAUGGAAAGAAACCAGUUACCGUGUAUUUAUCUUCAAAAUAUUGAAAAGUUAAACUCUAGGCGGAGGACCAGUCGAAAAAUUUAUCCAAGAGCGGAGGUUUUAAGAUUUUGACCUGAUAAUCCGAGAUCAUAGUAUCGCUUCAAGAUGGAAUGAUCGAUCAAGAGUUGAAGAUUUAUAACACGCUAAAUCCAACCCAUCUUGAUUUGAAAUAAAUACCAAGAAGAUUUGAAUUUUGUUUAAGAAUCAUAUUCCUCAACUUGAUCGUAAAAUUACAUGGGGGAAAAAAUCCUCUCACACUUGGUGAAAAACCCACAGCUCAUUUAAAAUGUUUAUUUAAGUGAUUAGAAAUUUAUUGAAUGGCACAUCAAGGUUUGACUUUAUGUAGAUAUUAAUUCUUGCUGCUGUGCUAAUUGAGCUGCUUUUGAUUCGAUUAAGAUUUUUUAUUUAUUUAUUUAUUUAUUUAUUUUGUUAAAUAUUUUUGUCUCCAUCAAAGAUAAAAAGUCAAAUCAAUUGUCAAGUGUUGAAUUUUACUUUAUUAAGACCGACAUGAAGCUGAAUUUUUAUUUUAUUAGUACGAUUUGUUAAUGUAUUUUUCAUCGCCUGGUGAAAAUGUGGCAUUUUCAAUCAAAUUCCUUAUGUGCGAUGUAUCGAGAAAUUGAAAUGAAAUAAAAACAAUCAAAUAAA